GUGCUCCCCCUGUUCCUUCCUCCCUCCAUCCCCAGCCCCUGGCAACCAUGGAUCUUCUUCCUGCCUCCAUCAUUAUGCCCUUUCCGGAACAUCGCGUGGCUGUCGUCACACGGUCUCUAGGCUUUUCGGACUAGCCGAGGCUCAGGAUGUUUCUUCUCAGCUUAAGAGUUUUCAUCAUGAACGGAUGUGCCUUCUUUGGCUUUUGAACAUGGACGUGAGCCACUUUACCCCCGCAGGGUACGGAGGGUAGAAGCUAGAACCCGAGGGAGGCGGUGGGAGUCAGCAUGUGGUCGUGUGGCCUGCAGGUGUCUUUAUCGCUGUCGGCGCCUUGAUUUGGUUUUCUGUCACAUUUAGCAAGAAACCUCCCCCGUGACACACCGCCUGCUCCAGCAGUGUUCCUGGUCCAUCCUCCGAAUGUGCCGUGGCCUCUGUGACUCCGCAGCGCCUUGUAGCUCAGUUGCUGCCGUUUUCUUGGCUGCCCAUCUGACCGUCUGUGUGUCCUGUUGCCCCUGCCAGCUCCUGUGGGCAGAGGCCUUGCCACCUCUGUGUCUGCCUCUCUUGCAGCACUUGGCACUGUGCUCACAAAGGGCAGAUAUUUGGAAGUUCCCGUCAUGGCUCAGCGCCUCUGCCGCGGGGCCAUCUUCCUGGGCUCCACCCGGUAACCGGAAAGAGUCGAUGUGUCUCUGAAUCCCAGCAGCGAUGCUUCCCUCCCUGACCUGGAAGACACGGGGAAGGCUGGUCUCCCCACUUGCAGCAGAUGGAGCUGUUUCUCCCAAGGGGGUUGAGGCUCCCCAAGCGCCCGCCCUCGUCCCUGUGAGCUUCCAGCUCCGGGUCUUCAGGGGGCACUUGAGAUGCUUUCAUCUGAGAGGAGCAGCCGAUUCCAGUCCUGGAGGUUGAACGUGAAUGGAAAACAGCGAGUCAAGUGGAAGUCAAGGUGAGGGCAGGCGAGAGACCCUGGCAGGCAGAGGGCAUGGGCCCUGAGAACAGUGACUGUGGGAAGGGUGUGUGAGAGUCCAGCCAGGCGGUAGCCUCCUGGGAGGCAGGGCUUGAUCCUCAAACGCACCAGGAAAGCAGAAUACAUGUUGGGGUCCGCAGGGCUCCUUGAAUUGAGAGCUGAGCUGAGUGAUGAUGGGCUAAUUGAGUUACCCGUGUUGUGCCUGCCACACACCAC
This 1171-nucleotide long non-coding RNA is filed under the name Sus scrofa (pig). RNAcentral's name for it is "lncRNA (ENSSSCG00055013599.1)". The record is from RNAcentral. Lineage: Eukaryota; Metazoa; Chordata; Mammalia; Artiodactyla; Suidae.